Molecule: ribosomal RNA, 488 nt
Filed under: uncultured bacterium
Lineage: Bacteria
Description: partial 16S ribosomal RNA
Rfam family: Bacterial small subunit ribosomal RNA
Source: RNAcentral
GUGAACGCUGGCGGCAGGCCUAACACAUGCAAGUCGAACGGCAGCACAAGAGAGCUUGCUCUCUGGGUGGCGAGUGGCGGACGGGUGAGGAAUGCAUCGGAAUCUGCCCAUUUGUGGGGGAUAACCUCGGGAAACCGGGACUAAUACCGCAUACGACCUACGGGUGAAAGCAGGGGAUCUUCGGACCUUGCGCAGAUGGAUGAGCCGAUGCCGGAUUAGCUAGUUGGAGGGGUAAAGGCCCACCAAGGCGACGAUCCGUAGCUGGUCUGAGAGGAUGAUCAGCCACACUGGGACUGAGACACGGCCCAGCCUCCUACGGGAGGCAGCAGUGGGGAAUAUUGGACAAUGGGCGCAAGCCUGAUCCAGCCAUGCCGCGUGUGUGAAGAAGGCCUUCGGGUUGUAAAGCACUUUUGUUGGGAAAGAAAAGCAGCCGGUUAAUACCCGGUUGUCAUGACGGUACCCAAAGAAUAAGCACCGGCUAACUUCGU